UUAUAUACCACGACUCCAUGUUGUAUGAUACUGGAUAUCCAACUUAGGAAAAAAAUUCACAAAGUCUUUCACCAAAAUGUGCAAGCUACCUAAACGCCCUCAGCAGGGGAAUGACUAAAUGGCCUGUAGCAUCAAAUGGAAGCCUAUAAAGCAAGGAACAACAGCUUUCAGAGUGCAGACUAUCCACAAGAACUCUGUUUUAGUUGCCUGGUAACAAAGCGUCUACACGUUCUGCAGCUGCAGAGGUUGGCUGCCUAGCUCACUCCCGUGUCUCCAUCCUCUAUAUAGGACCCAACAAGAGGAUCUGCUCCCAAGACAGUAACGGGCUGGGGUCUAUUUUAGCAUUUCAAGUAAUGCUUGAAAUGAAUGCCUUCCAGUGCCCUCCAUAUUAGAGAAGCUACCUGUAAAUGAUUUAAAAUAUAUUCCCUGUAUUUCUACUCAUUGCCGUCUUGUCUCAGACACUAAGAAGAUAUCUAGGAGUCUCCUUCCAUGGACAACUUCAGCUAGUGCCACAAAAAUCAAACCGCUGUAUGGCAGUUUCUCCAAAUUGAAACUUUCCGUCUAGGAGGGAAGAGGAGGCUCCCGAGAUUCAACAGAAACUGUGUCAGAACACAAAGGCACAAUAAAAGACGCAAGCAUACAAAAGCAGCGUGACGUCAGCACCCUCCCCUUCAUCGGCCAAUCAUUUUGUUUGUCGGGAGUGUGGGUGUCACAGAGAUCCUGGACUUGGAAGCCUGAGAGCCAAGGUGCAAGCCCACCUCCACCGCACAUUUCCUGUGUGAUCUUGAGUGAGUGACUCAGCCUCUCAGCCUCAGUCUCCUCAUCCACACAGUUCGAGAACGGCUUCCACCCCCGAGUUUCAUGAACAUCAAAUCAAGAACCUGGUGUGUAUGGCUUACAUGUGUGGUGCCGUGAGAACAAGAUUUUGGUUUUCUCCUUAA
Molecule: long non-coding RNA, 941 nt
Organism: Peromyscus eremicus (cactus mouse)
Lineage: Eukaryota; Metazoa; Chordata; Mammalia; Rodentia; Cricetidae
Exons: 4
Source: RefSeq, a predicted model, not a curated record